CAGUCGCCACGGUAAUACGUAGGGUGCAAGCGUUAAUCGGAAUUACUGGGCGUAAAGCGUGCGCAGGCGGUUAUAUAAGACAGAUGUGAAAUCCCCGGGCUCAACCUGGGAACUGCAUUUGUGACUGUAUAGCUAGAGUACGGCAGAGGGGGAUGGAAUUCCGCGUGUAGCAGUGAAAUGCGUAGAUAUGCGGAGGAACACCGAUGGCGAAGGCAAUCCCCUGGGCCUGUACUGACGCUCAUGCACGAAAGCGUGGGGAGCAAACAGGAUUAGAUACCCGCGUAGUCCCUGUCUCUUUAUA
RNAcentral lists this ribosomal RNA (301 nucleotides) under uncultured bacterium. RNAcentral describes it as "partial 16S ribosomal RNA". It matches the Rfam family "Bacterial small subunit ribosomal RNA", at positions 509 to 809 of the family's 1533-position model. The record is from RNAcentral.